This is a non-coding RNA of Triticum aestivum (bread wheat), 135 nucleotides long. The record is from Rfam. NCBI's taxonomy places the organism in Eukaryota, Viridiplantae, Streptophyta, Magnoliopsida, Poales, Poaceae.
UUUGUACUCCUUCCAUCUGAAAAUACUUGUCAUCAAAAUGAAUAAAAGGGUAUGUAUCUAGAUGUAUUUUAGUUCUGCAUACAUCUCCUUUUAUCCAUUCUGAUGACAAAUAUUUUCAGACGGAGGAAGUAGUUU